This 681-nucleotide ribosomal RNA is filed under the name Capromys pilorides (Desmarest's hutia). RNAcentral describes it as "partial 12S ribosomal RNA". It matches the Rfam family "Bacterial small subunit ribosomal RNA", at positions 343 to 1391 of the family's 1533-position model. Lineage: Eukaryota; Metazoa; Chordata; Mammalia; Rodentia; Capromyidae. The record is from RNAcentral.
GGGAUACAGCAGUAAUUAAAAUUAAGCAAUAAACGAAAGUUUGACUAAGUUAUGCAACAUUAUAUAGGGUUGGUAAAUUUCGUGCCAGCCACCGCGGUCAUACGAUUAACCCUAAUUAAUAAAGCCCGGCGUAAAGAGUGUUAAAAUUACAAAAACAAUAAGAUUAAAUUUUACCUAAGUCGUAAAAAACAACAGAUAAAAAUAAAAUCAUAAACGAAAGUAAUCUUAAUAGAUCUGAAUACACUAAAGCUAAGACCCAAACUGGGAUUAGAUACCCCACUAUGCUUAGCCAUAAACAAAGAUAUUUAAUAACAAAAAUUUUCGCCAGAGUACUACUAGCAACAGCUUAAAACUCAAAGGACUUGGCGGUGCUUUAAACCCACCUAGAGGAGCCUGUUCUAUAAUCGAUAAACCCCGAUAUACCUUACCACUUCUUGCUAAUCCAGUCUAUAUACCGCCAUCUCCAGCAAACCCCAACAGGGAUUAAAAGUAAGCACAACUAUACUCGUAAAAACGUUAGGUCAAGGUGUAACUAAUGAAGUGGAAAGCAAUGGGCUACAUUUUCUUCUUCCAAGAAAACAACAACAGUAAUCUUUAUGAAAUUAAAGAUUUAAGGAGGAUUUAGUAGUAAAUUAAGAAUAGAGAGCUUAAUUGAAUUAGGCAAUAAAGCACGCACACACC